This 373-nucleotide ribosomal RNA is filed under the name uncultured prokaryote. Its description in RNAcentral is "bacterial SSU rRNA". It matches the Rfam family "Bacterial small subunit ribosomal RNA", at positions 524 to 896 of the family's 1533-position model. The record is from RNAcentral.
UACGAGGGGUGCAAGCGUUAAUCGGAUUUACUGGGCGUAAAGCGCGCGUAGGCGGCUUGUUAAGUCGGAUGUGAAAGCCCCGGGCUCAACCUGGGAACUGCAUCCGAUACUGGCGAGCUAGAGUACGAGAGAGGGUGGUAGAAUUCCUAGUGUAGCGGUGAAAUGCGUAGAUAUUAGGAGGAAUACCGGUGGCGAAGGCGGCCACCUGGCUCGAUACUGACGCUGAAGUGCGAAAGCGUGGGGAGCAAACAGGAUUAGAUACCCUGGUAGUCCACGCCGUAAACGAUGUCUACUAGCCGUUGGGAGACUUGAUCUCUUAGUGGCGCAGCUAACGCGAUAAGUAGACCGCCUGGGGAGUACGGUCGCAAGACUA